This 2302-nucleotide long non-coding RNA is filed under the name Homo sapiens (human). RNAcentral's name for it is "HSALNT0406802". Lineage: Eukaryota; Metazoa; Chordata; Mammalia; Primates; Hominidae. The record is from RNAcentral.
UUCUGCCGUGAUCGUGAGGCCUCCCCAGCCACAUGGAACUAUACUUCAAAUUACUUCUCCUAUGCAUUUGGAGAGCGGGAGAGAAAAACACCAGGAAGGAAGAGGGAACAAAGAAACUCUACAGGCAGAGACACAGGACUGAGCCGCGUUGGGGGCACUGGGAGGAGUGAGCCUUGGGGUUGCACCCUCGGAGCCCCACUGUCCUGGGAGCAGCCUUCAGAACCACCCUUUUGUUCUCUGAAGUACCAGGCGUUCAGCUUUUCCAAGGACUGGCAGCUGCACAUCUUUGUCCCUGCCCCUUCCAUCUCUAGGCUCAGCCCCGCUGGGCAGCCUGGCCCACUCCCCACCCCUGCCCAGGGCCAACCCCUACUUCCCAUGCCCCCUCUGCCCACCUGCAGCACACUGGAGCCUUGGAGGCCCUCUCUGCAUCAUUCAAGAUGCAGACUCCUACACUUUGACCUGCACACAUCCUCCUGAAGCUUCCACUUCCUGGCCCCUGCCUGGCUUCUCACCUCCCCCACCUCCGCCCCCCAGGGGAUGUGCCGCCUCUCCCAGUGGCCCAGGACAUCCUCCACUUCCCGGGAACCCCAGGCACUUCCACAUCCUCAGACACAGUGAGAAGAUGACCCUCUCUCCAAGCCAGGAAGAGACCUCCCGAGGAGCCCAGCCAGCCAGCACGCUGACCUCCAACGUCCAGCCUCUGGAAAUGGGAUACCGAAGGCUGCGCUCCUGCCCCGCACCAGGAUGUGGGAACUUUGAGAACCGCUGGAGAGUCGAGAGAUGUCAUCGAAACGACACCCGAUACGUGUUCCCUGAGCAUCCGUUUUGUAGUGAAGACACUCGUACUGUUGACGCCUGCUGCGGUAAGCGGAGACAGGGCAGGGCGAUCAGGAGCAGCGUGAGCCAAAGGAGGACCAUCGGGAACGCAGCUCCGGAACGCAGGACAGAGGUGCCUGCUGCAGGAGAAACGAGAGUCAGGCAGCGGGGACUGGCUGUGAAACUGGGUUGCGGGUAAUGAAGGAUGCUUGCCCCUUCCAGAGCCUGGUGCUCACAGCAGAAGGAGCUGCUUCUGGAGGGAAAGCGGUGAACAUUGUCACGACCCCAAAAGGAGACUCCAGACCCAUUAAAGACCCGUCCUUCCUCUUCCCCAGCCUGUGGCAACCACUCAUCCACUUUCUGUCUCUGUGGAUUUGCCUGUAUCUGGACAUAGGGAAUAAAUGGAAUCAUACAGACACUAUGUAUCUUUUUGUAUCUGGCCUCUCUCAGGAAGCAUGAUGUCCUCAGCAUUCACCCACAUUGCCACCUGUGGCAGAGCCUCGUUCCUUUUCAUGGCUGUGUAAUAUUCCACCGUGUGGCUGGACCACAUUAUAUUUCUCCAUUCAUCUAUAGAUGGGUAUGAGGACUCUCUCCACCUCUUGGCUAGUGUGAAUAAAGCUGCUUAUUCCUUUUCAUGGCUGUGUAAUAUUCCACCGUGUGGCUGGACCACAUUAUAUUUCUCCAUUCAUCUAUAGAUGGGGUAUGAGGGCUGUCUCCACCUCUUGGCUAUUGUGAAUAAAGCUGCUUGUUCCUUUUCAUGGCUGUGUAAUAUUCCACUGUGUGGAUGGACAUUAUAUUUUUCCAUUCAUCUAUAGAUGGGUAUGAGGGCUGUCUCCACCUCUUGGCUAUUGUGAAUAAAGCUGCUUGUUCCUUUUCAUGGCUGUGUAAUAUUCCACUGUGUGGAUGGACAUUAUAUUUCUCCCUUCAUCUAUAGAUGGGGGUAUGAGGGCUGUCUCCACCUCUUGGCUAUUGUGAAUAAAGCUGCUUGUUCCUUUUCAUGGCUGUAUAAUAUUCCACUGUGUGUCUGGACCACAUUAUAUUUCUCCAUUCAUCUAUAGAUGGGUACGAGGGCUGUCUCCACCUCUUGGCUAUUGUGAAUAAAGCUGCUUGUUCCUUUUCAUGGCUGUAUAAUAUUCCACUGUGUGGCUGGACCACAUUAUAUUUCUCCAUUCAUCUAUAGAUGGGUAUGAGGGCUGUCUCCACCUCUUGGCUAUUGUGAAUAAAGCUGCUUGUUCCUUUUCAUGGCUGUGUAAUAUUCCACUGUGUGGCUGGACCACAUUAUAUUUAUCCAUUCGUCUAUAGAUGGGUAUGAGGGCUGUCUCCACCUCUUGGCUAUUGUGAAUAAAGCUGCUUGUUCCUUUUCAUGGCUGUGUAAUAUUCCACCGUGUGGCUGGACCACAUUAUAUUUAUCCAUUCGUCUAUAGAUGGGUAUGAGGGCUGUCUCCACCUCUUGGCUAUUGUGAAUAAAGCUGCUUGUUCCUUUUCA